CGACCAGAACGGCCCUGCUUUUGUGGGGUGCUCGAGUGGCGAACGGGUGAGUAACACGUGAGUAACCUGCCCUUGACUUUGGGAUAACUUCAGGAAACUGGGGCUAAUACCGGAUAGGAGCUCCUGCUGCAUGGUGGGGGUUGGAAAGUUUCGGCGGUUGGGGAUGGACUCGCGGCUUAUCAGCUUGUUGGUGGGGUAGUGGCUUACCAAGGCUUUGACGGGUAGCCGGCCUGAGAGGGUGACCGGCCACAUUGGGACUGAGAUACGGCCCAGACUCCUACGGGAGGCAGCAGUGGGGAAUAUUGCACAAUGGGCGGAAGCCUGAUGCAGCAACGCCGCGUGCGGGAUGACGGCCUUCGGGUUGUAAACCGCUUUCGCCUGUGACGAAGCGUGAGUGACGGUAAUGGGUAAAGAAGCACCGGCUAACUACGUGCCAGCAGCCGCGGUGAUACGUAGGGUGCGAGCGUUGUCCGGAUUUAUUGGGCGUAAAGGGCUCGUAGGUGGUUGAUCGCGUCGGAAGUGUAAUCUUGGGGCUUAACCCUGAGCGUGCUUUCGAUACGGGUUGACUUGAGGAAGGUAGGGGAGAAUGGAAUUCCUGGUGGAGCGGUGGAAUGCGCAGAUAUCAGGAGGAACACCAGUGGCGAAGGCGGUUCUCUGGGCCUUUCCUGACGCUGAGGAGCGAAAGCGUGGGGAGCGAACAGGCUUAGAUACCCUGGUAGUCCACGCUGUAAACGGUGGGUACUAGGUGUGGGGUCCAUUCCAGGGUUCCGUGCCGUAGCUAACGCUUUAACACCCCGCCUGGGGAGUACGGCCGCAAGGCUAAAACUCAAAGGAAUUGACGGGGCCCCGCACAAGCGGCGGAGCAUGCGGAUUAAUUCGAUGCAACGCGUAGAACCUUACCUGGGUUUGACAUGGAUCGGGAGUGCUCAGAGAUGGGUGUGCCUCUUUUGGGGUCGGUUCACAGGUGGUGCAUGGCUGUCGUCAGCUCGUGUCGUGAGAUGUUGGGUUAAGUCCCGCAACGAGCGCAACCCUUGUUCACUGUUGCCAGCACGUUAUGGUGGGGACUCAUUGGAGACCGCCGGGGUCAACU
Molecule: ribosomal RNA, 1090 nt
Filed under: Cutibacterium sp.
Lineage: Bacteria; Bacillati; Actinomycetota; Actinomycetes; Propionibacteriales; Propionibacteriaceae
Description: bacterial SSU rRNA
Rfam family: Bacterial small subunit ribosomal RNA
Source: RNAcentral